Molecule: ribosomal RNA, 408 nt
Filed under: uncultured bacterium
Lineage: Bacteria
Description: partial 16S ribosomal RNA
Rfam family: Bacterial small subunit ribosomal RNA
Source: RNAcentral
GACGAACGCUGGCGGCGUGCUUAACACAUGCAAGUCGAACGAAGUGGCGAACGGGUGCGUAACGCGUAAUCAACCUGCCCUUCAGAGGGGGACAACAGUUGGAAACGACUGCUAAUACCGCAUACUGAAGGCGGGGAUUGCGUCUGAUUAGCUAGUUGGAGGGGUAACGGCCCACCAAGGCGACGAUCCCUAGCGGGUCUGAGAUGAUGAGCAGCCACACUGGGACUGAGACACGGCCCAGACUCCUACGGGAGGCAGCAGUGGGGAAUAUUGCACAAUGGGCGCAAGCCUGAUGCAGCCAUGCCGCGUGUCUGAAGAAGGCCUUCGGGUUGUAAAGGACUUUUGUCAGGGAAGCGGUACCUGAAGAAUAAGCACCGGCUAACUACGUGCCAGCAGCCGCGGUAAUAC